RNAcentral lists this ribosomal RNA (494 nucleotides) under uncultured bacterium. RNAcentral's name for it is "partial 16S ribosomal RNA". It matches the Rfam family "Bacterial small subunit ribosomal RNA", at positions 28 to 507 of the family's 1533-position model. The record is from RNAcentral.
GACGAACGCUGGCGGCGUGCUUAACACAUGCAAGUCGAACGGAAAGGCCUGCUUUCCCUUGUGGAUUGCGGGUACUCGAGUGGCGAACGGGUGAGUAACACGUGAGUGAUCUGCCCCCAACUUGGGUAUAAGCCUGGGAAACUGGGUCUAAUUCCCGAUAGGACUGCAGGGUGGUGCCUGUGGUGGAAAACGAUUUUCUAGUGGUUGGGGAUGAGCUCGCGGCCUAUCAGCUUGUUGGUGGGGUAAUGGCCUACCAAGGCGGCGACGGGUAGCCGGCCUGGGAGGGUGGACGGCCACAUUGGGACUGAGAUACGGCCCAGACUCCUACGGGAGGCAGCAGUGGGGAAUAUUGCACAAUGGGCGGAAGCCUGAUGCAGCGACGCCGCGUGGGGGAUGACGGCCUUCGGGUUGUAAACUCCUUUCGACCGCGAGGAAGCCACCUGGAUGGAAGGGUGGUGACGGUAGUGGUAGAAGAAGCACCGGCUAACUACGUG